RNAcentral lists this ribosomal RNA (301 nucleotides) under uncultured bacterium. RNAcentral's name for it is "partial 16S ribosomal RNA". It matches the Rfam family "Bacterial small subunit ribosomal RNA", at positions 509 to 807 of the family's 1533-position model. The record is from RNAcentral.
CAGUAGCCGCGGUAAUACAGAGGGUGCGAGUGUUAAUCGGAUUUACUGGGCGUAAAGCGUGCGUAGGCGGCUUCUUAAGUCGGAUGUGAAAUCCCUGAGCUUAACUUAGGAAUUGCAUUCGAUACUGGGAAGCUAGAGUAUGGGAGAGGAUGGUAGAAUUCCAGGUGUAGCGGUGAAAUGCGUAGAGAUCUGGAGGAAUACCGAUGGCGAAGGCAGCCAUCUGGCCUAAUACUGACGCUGAGGUACGAAAGCAUGGGGAGCAAACAGGAUUAGAUACCCGGGUAGUCCCUGUCUCUUAUAC